UACGUAGGGAGCGAGCGUUGUCCGGAUUUACUGGGUGUAAAGGGUGCGUAGGCGGGAUGGCAAGUCAGAUGUGAAAUACCGGGGCUUAACUCCGGGGCUGCAUUUGAAACUGUCGUUCUUGAGUGAAGUAGAGGCAGGCGGAAUUCCUAGUGUAGCGGUGAAAUGCGUAGAUAUUAGGAGGAACACCAGUGGCGAAGGCGGCCUGCUGGGCUUUAACUGACGCUGAGGCACGAAAGCAUGGGGAGCAA
Molecule: ribosomal RNA, 248 nt
Filed under: uncultured Oscillospiraceae bacterium
Lineage: Bacteria; Bacillati; Bacillota; Clostridia; Eubacteriales; Oscillospiraceae
Description: partial 16S ribosomal RNA
Rfam family: Bacterial small subunit ribosomal RNA
Source: RNAcentral